GCCACAAAGCUAGCUCAAACAUUAUUAGAAACUUUACACUAUAAAUUAUUCUUUAAUAUUCUAAACAUAUUAACCAAAUCAUUUGACCUUCCCAGUAUGGGCGACAGAAAAGAAAUCAAUUGAAGCUAUAGAGAAAGUACCGCAAGGGAAAGCUGAAAAAGAAGUGAAACAACCCAUUAAAGCAUGAAGAAGCAAAGACUACCCCUUGUACCUUUUGCAUCAUGAUUCAGCAAGUAAACUCGAGCGAAGAGACCUCUAGUUUGUACCCCCGAAACUUGACGAGCUACUUCGGGACAGCUUAUACCGAGCCAACCCGUCUCUGUGGCAAAAGAGUGGGAAGAUCCCUGAGUAGAGGCAAAAAACCUACCGAGUCAAGUAAUAGCUGGUUGUCCAAUCAAUGAAUAAAAGUUCAGCCCCGCCCGGCCCCCCUCAAAGCAGUUUGACUAAUAAAGAUACAUGAGCCUUGUGCGGAGGUUAAUCAGAGGAGGUACAGCUCCCCUGAUCAAGGACACAACCUUAUAAGGAGGUUAAAGAAUACAAUUGUUAAGGUCCCAGGUCUCAGUGGGCCUGAAAGCAGCCACCUGAUUAGAAAGCGUUAAAGCUCCGACCUCAUAAUUAAACCUAUUAUUUUAUUUUUUUAUCUUACCCCCUAUCCUCAUUGGACCUCUCUAUGCCUACCAUGGAAGAGAUUAUGCUGAAACGAGUAACAAGAAGAUUGAACUUCUCCACGCACAAGUGUAAGUCGAAUUGGACCAACCACCGACCAUUAACGGACCCAACAAAAGAGGGGCCCACACAUACACCACCCUCAGUCAAGAAAAACGUGUCGGAUUUUACCGUUACCCCCACACAGGAGUGCUAGAACAAGGAAAGACUAAAAGGAAGAAAAGGAACUCGGCAAGCACAAACCCCGCCUGUUUACCAAAAACACCGCCUCUUGCAUAUAAAAGUAUAAGAGGUCCCACCUGCCCUGUGACUCUAAGUUUAACGGCCGCGGUAUCCUAACCGUGCGAAGGUAGCGCAAUCAAUUGCCUUUUAAAUGAAGGCCUGUAUGAAUGGUAUAACGAGGGUUUAACUGUCUCUUUUUCCUAGUCAGUUAAACUGAUCUGUCCGUGCAGAAGCGGACAUUACAAUACAAGACGAGAAGACCCUAUGGAGCUUUAGACACUAGCCAAGUAUGAAUAAGCGGCCGCAUUAAAUGGCCCCAAGCACCCGUAGCCUUCUGGUAAUGUGUCUUAGGUUGGGGCGACCACGGGAGACAGAAAAGCUCCCGAGCAGAGCAGGGGACAUCCCUGAAACUAAGAGUAACAACUCUAAGUCACAAAAGUUUUGACUGAAGUGAUCCGGCCUAAUAGCCGAUUGACGAACCAAGUUACCCUAGGGAUAACAGCGCAAUCCUCUCCCAGAGUCCCUAUCGACGAGAGGGUUUACGACCUCGAUGUUGGAUCAGGACAUCCUAAUGGUGCAGCCGCUAUUAAGGGUUCGUUUGUUCAACGAUUAAAGUCCUACGUGAUCUGAGUUCAGACCGGAGUAAUCCAGGUCGGUUUCUAUCUGUAAGGCUACCACCCCUAGUACGAAAGGACCGGGAUGGAGGGGCCCAGGCUGACAGCAAGCCCCUUACUUACUUGCUGAAGACAACUUAAGCAAUCAAAAGUAAGCAACUUAACAGCUCGAGAAAAGAGCUGUUUUGUUUAUUCGC
RNAcentral lists this ribosomal RNA (1699 nucleotides) under Encrasicholina punctifer (buccaneer anchovy). RNAcentral's name for it is "16S ribosomal RNA". It matches the Rfam family "Bacterial large subunit ribosomal RNA". Lineage: Eukaryota; Metazoa; Chordata; Actinopteri; Clupeiformes; Engraulidae. The record is from RNAcentral.